CUCAGAAAAUGUGUAAGAUUGCAAAGAUCAAUGAAUGGAAUCGAAAGGCAAUUGGUUCGUGGAAAUAGAAAGCAAUUGAAAAGGCAGUUGUAUAAUUUUAGCAGUGUUAUAAUAAUAGAUUGAAGUCAACAAAGUAUCACAAAUUUUUGUAUAUAUAUGAGUGGUUUAAUUCUUUUGGAUGAGAUAGGUUCAUUUUACUUCAUGGAAAUGAACGCUAGAAUCUACGUUACUUAAAUGAUUGUUUUUUAAUAGAAAAAACAAACACUAUCCCAACCUAUGCAAAGCAUGGGUACCUAUACUAGUUUGUAAAAAACUAGCAUGCCUUGUAAACAGUAGAUGAAACUGGAUGUCUUUUGUCUUAUAACACUAACCCAUUCUGAAACGUUAAAUAGGGUUCUCUUUUGAUUUUGUAAAAUGGGUUUUGUUGAAUUGGAGUUUUGGGUUUGGUUAAGGAGAUAACUUCUUAAUUCUAGAUUGUAUAUAUGUUAUGUUUUCUUGUUUUUGCAAGUUAAAACAUGGAUGUGAAGACCAUCUCAAAGCAAAAUCAAAUCAUUCAAAGGUCGUCUUCAUUUACGUGAUCCAAAUUCAAUGAAAAUGGAUGGGGUGACUGAAGGUAAUCUGAAACUGGUAAUGGAGGUUCAAACUGUUGCACCGGGGGAGGGCGAGAGGUGAUAUUUGUACAUACAUAUGACCUCUUGUUGGUUGCCGAUAACCUGUUUGUUGAAAUGCCUCAAAGAAAUAUCUUAUUUAGGAACUCAUUCAUUUGUGGAUGUGAUCUUAUUAUUUGCAAUUUCAAUUUCAAAGAAAUACUAACACUGCCUUCACGCGUGUAAGUAAAAUCAAUCAACUUUGUUAUUUAAUAAAUUCCAGAUUUCUUAUUAAA
This is a long non-coding RNA of Lactuca sativa (garden lettuce), 883 nucleotides long. RefSeq lists it as uncharacterized. Lineage: Eukaryota; Viridiplantae; Streptophyta; Magnoliopsida; Asterales; Asteraceae. The record is from RefSeq and is a predicted model, not a curated record.